AUGCAAAACAUAGGAAGGCUUAUUUUUAACACAUACCACUUGAUCACCUUGCCCUUGUUGCAAAAGUGCUCAAACUCUAGUUCUCAUUCCAACCUGAUCCCAGUCACAUCAGCCAGGAGUAAAUCUUCAUGCUCAGAAAAAAAUCCCUGCUAUUGUAUUUUCCAAACCCCUUACCUCCUUCCCGAUGCUAGCAGAUGCGGAUCUCACAAGUGCUUUUCUCAGAGCCUUUCCUUCCUGCCUCCACGCGUUUCCCUUCCACUUCUGCAAGCAUCUGCAGCUGGGAAGAUGCAAACAGUGGCAAAUUUAAAGGCUUUGUCAGAGAUUUCCCCCAGAUGGCAAUCAGCUGAGAAAGCUCCCUCAUGUGAAGAGCUCUUUAUUAGCCUGUUGCACCUGGGUAUCGAGCACCAGAAGAAGCAGGACUGUUAUGCAGAUCUGGCAGCCUUCAGGUCAUUGGCCUCUUGUCUCUACCCAGAUUUACACCCAUGGCAGUGCCAGCAUCAGCAACCUCCACGCCGGAGCUGUGCUAAGGACCCGGACCACAGUGCCAGAAAUAACUUUGUGUCCCCACCAAAACCACGGUGCUGGAGCUACACUGCCACAUGGACAGAGCAGCCACCAGCAGAGGGAGCGGCAAACUCGGCACAGAGAUCCCCAAAAAGAAUAACACCGGGGAUUUGGGGAGUGCUGUUGCUGGGUAUAAGAAAAUGGCCCAGGGAAGGCUGGAGACUCUUUUGUCCAGUACAUGCUAGCAAGUGGUGACGCUGUUACUCUGUCCUGAUAGCAAAAGAGAGCCAAAGAGAUAGGUGUCAGUAUUGCUCCUGUGGAUAUGAAGCUUUAGAAAUGCACACGUAGCCCUGCUGUGUGGCAGGGUCCCCAGGGGGCUGCAAGGAGUGCACACAGCAGAUCUAGGGGCUCCGGGAGCUUCCCAUAUCCCACCGUCCCCCCAUCUCUGAGCCAUCGACUGAAAAGUGUGAGGGACAGGAGCAAAGUGGCAAUGAGGAACCACUCUGCCUUUUAUCCAGUGCUUUCCAAGUGUUUUUCUUCCCAGCAAAACCAAAGGGAACCAGUUCCACCAGUGCCAGCUUUCCCAGCUCACCGCCUCUUCCCAAAGGCACUGGGACCUGAGGCCAGCUGCCCAUCCAUCCCCUUGCACUCAGCACAUUUACAAGGGGAAGGGACGUGAGCUGCUGUAGGCGCUCACAAGGAGCUGAUCCAUCCGGCCACCAGUUGGAAAAGCCUCAGGGUGUCCUUCAUUUACACCGCUUCUUGGGUCUGGGACAGUUGGAGCACAUCGGUGCGGCCGCGCAGCUCCCGCUGGUGCUGCAGAGGGAGCGGGGAGGUUGUGCUGAGCCAGCUCUGCUAAAUUUACCCCACCCUGGGACUCUGACGUGAAGUGGGCACAGCAGGUUUGGGCAGACGUGCUGGGCUUGGGAGCUGCUGUGAGGUUUUUCUGAGAUCCUGGCAAUGCCCCAAAGCAGCUGACUCACUCCUUCUCUCAGGUCAGGGCUUCGCAGCUGUAACUCCGGUGAGACCAGGGGGUUAUUUCUGAUGCACAGUGCUGUACAAUCAGCGUCCACUCCAUUACCCUUGCUGGUGAAGGAUGGCUCCUGUCUCCAGCGAGCUUUCUUUAGCUUUUACUCCAAAGUCGUUCAGUAAUAGGGGAGCUGAUGUAAAAAGACUACAGCGUUUUCUUUUUGCUGGAGAUUCCCCAUCUUGAGUUAUUUGGUGACUUUGAGCCUGCUGUAAUCAAUGAGCUUGU
This 1759-nucleotide long non-coding RNA is filed under the name Anas platyrhynchos platyrhynchos (common mallard). Its description in RNAcentral is "lncRNA (ENSAPLG00000019292.1)". The record is from RNAcentral. Lineage: Eukaryota; Metazoa; Chordata; Aves; Anseriformes; Anatidae.